UCGCUCUUCUGAGAAGGACGCAAGAAGGAACAUCCAGGCCAGAUCAUGGGAGGGACCCGGAUGCCUAAACUCACAGAGGACGCAGCCCCACCUGCCUCGUAAUUAAAGAAUUGCAACAUCCACUGUAAUUUUCCAUCACCCCCAUAAAGUGGAGAGAAGAAUCAUAUCUCCAGCACUUACCACCUGAAGGCUUGAGUGACCCAGACGACACCAGCCCACUCCCCAAAGGACCCGUUUCCAUAGCCCCUGCCAGCGCCAGCAGGAUGGCCCCGGGGACCUGCCCACCCGUGGAGCACAGAGCUGCUCACUAAAGAAGCCAUCUGCACUGACGCGCUGCUCAGUAGCCCCUCUCUCCCUCUGAACUCUUUUGCCACCUCAUCUAUCACAUGCCCACUGAGAUCGGCCUGGACUGCGUCUUUCAGCAUGGAGAAGCUUGACAUUUGGGAAUAACUGACAAAAAACAACGAUGUCAAAAUGUCUCUAUCACACUGCCUUGCUCUGACUUUAAAGAAGAAAACACAAUAUUGAAAGAGUGGGAAAAAAAUACUAGAUCCUUCAACACGCCUACUUUCAAACACUGGAGUUUCAAGUUUUCCAGAUUAAAUUAAUUAAAAUGAUUUUCACACAUAAUGUGAAAAAAAACAUUUCUCUGCAAAUAUCAUACAGUUUGUACUGUUUCUUUCGGAAGACUUGCAGAGAACUUGGCGAGGAGACAGCGACCGGCCCAUGUUUCAGAUGCCUUUGUUCCCUCCUGUGGCUUCCUAAGCUCUUGCCAGCAGCAAGGAAGCUGGCUUGUCAGUGGGUGAAGACUUCAGUACCUGUAGGUGGAUGAGGGAAGGCUGUGUACUUAGAGAAGAAAGCAGAAGAAAGUAACACACUUUGCCAUUUCUGUAACCUUUCCUGUGAGUCUGCUUUUCAAGCACGGACUAUGCCUCUUUGAUCAAGACACACCUAUUUCACCUUCUCUUUGUAAUAGUUAGCACUGGUCCAAAUGCUAAAGAUCCCUGUCAGCUUAGUGUGAACCAGGAAGCCAGAGAAUAGAUGUAAGUCCUCAAAAGCUGAUUUUGUUUUAUUUUGAUGCUGAAGAAGAGCAGGUGACUCAAAACCAGGACUGUCACUUUGUGUCCCCAGACUUAGUCUCUAACUCACCCUAGUUCACAUCUAAAGAUAUAACUGUUGCCUGAUCCAUGACCUUGGGGGAUCCUCAAGCCAGAUGACUGCAGAGGAGAGCAGAAGACAGGAAGGUCAAGGGCAGCAGGAGGGAAGCCCAGGCGGGAGGCUCCCUGUCAAUGGGCCACUAUGGAAGGGGAACUGGUGGCCCAGAUUGGCCCCCCGCUCUACCCAUGAGGAUUCCCACAGCAGCUUCCUACUGCCUUGAGCUCUCUUUAGUUGUAGUGCUGUGU
This is a non-coding RNA of Heterocephalus glaber (naked mole-rat), 1403 nucleotides long. The record is from RefSeq and is a predicted model, not a curated record. Lineage: Eukaryota; Metazoa; Chordata; Mammalia; Rodentia; Bathyergidae.